UUCGAUGAUGGCAUGUAAUCUUUGAGACCUGAUUUAUCAUUGAUGAAAAUUAUAAGCAGUCUCACUGAGGAC
Molecule: small nucleolar RNA, 72 nt
Organism: Nymphaea colorata (pocket water lily)
Lineage: Eukaryota; Viridiplantae; Streptophyta; Magnoliopsida; Nymphaeales; Nymphaeaceae
Product: small nucleolar RNA R66
Exons: 1
Source: RefSeq, a predicted model, not a curated record